This 384-nucleotide ribosomal RNA is filed under the name uncultured prokaryote. RNAcentral describes it as "bacterial SSU rRNA". It matches the Rfam family "Archaeal small subunit ribosomal RNA", at positions 341 to 725 of the family's 1478-position model. The record is from RNAcentral.
GCGAAAACUUUACAAUGCUGGCAACAGCGAUAAGGGAACCUCGAGUGCCAGGUUACAAAUCUGGCUGUCGAGAUGCCUAAAAAGCAUUUCAUAGCAAGGGCCGGGCAAGACCGGUGCCAGCCGCCGCGGUAACACCGGCGGCUCGAGUGGUAACCGUUAUUAUUGGGUCUAAAGGGUCUGUAGUCGGCCGGAUAAGUCUCUUGAGAAAUCUGGCAGCUUAACUGUCAGGCUUUCAGGAGAUACUGUCUGGCUCGAGGCCGUGAGAGGUGAGAGGUACUUCAGGGGUAGGGGUGAAAUCUUGUAAUCCUUGAAGGACCACCAGUGGCGAAGGCGUCUCACCAGAACGGACCUGACGGCAAGGGACGAAAGCUAGGGGCACGAACC